AACGAACGCUGGCGGCAUGCCUAACACAUGCAAGUCGAGCGCCCGUAGCAAUACGGGAGCGGCGCACGGGUGAGUAACGCGUGGGAACCUGCCCAGAGGUUCGGGACAACCGCGGGAAACUGCGGCUGAUACCGGAUGAUACCUGAGGGUCAAAGAUUUAUCGCCUUUGGAGGGGCCCGCGUCGGAUUAGGUAGUUGGUGGGGUAACGGCCUACCAAGCCUAUGAUCCGUAACUGGUCUGAGAGGAUGACCAGUCACACUGGGACUGAGACACGGCCCAGACUCCUACGGGAGGCAGCAGUGGGGAGUAUUGGACAAUGGGGGGCAACCCUGAUCCAGCAAUGCCGCGUGGGUGAUGAAGGCCUUCGGGUUGUAAAGCCCUUUCGGCGGGGACGAUGAUGACGGUACCCGCAGAAGAAGCCCCGGCUAACUUCGUGCCAGCAGCCGCGGUAAU
Molecule: ribosomal RNA, 453 nt
Filed under: uncultured bacterium
Lineage: Bacteria
Description: bacterial SSU rRNA
Rfam family: Bacterial small subunit ribosomal RNA
Source: RNAcentral